UAAUGAUAAGUUCAAAGGGGCA
Molecule: non-coding RNA, 22 nt
Filed under: Arabidopsis thaliana (thale cress)
Lineage: Eukaryota; Viridiplantae; Streptophyta; Magnoliopsida; Brassicales; Brassicaceae
Source: RNAcentral